GUUGUCACGGGGUUUCCUGUGUCUGGAAACAUUGGUGUGGGACCUCUUGCAGUAGGUCCCAGGUGGAUAGCCUAUAGUGGAAGUCCAGUUUCAGUUUCGAAUUCUGGUCGAGUUAAUCCACAGCACCUUACUCCUUCUGCUAGUUUCCCAAGUCCAGCGCCAAAUGGCAGCCUUGUCGCUCAUUAUGCAAAGGAAUCAAGCAGGCAAAUUGCUGCUGGUAUUGUGACUUUAGGGGACAUGGGGUACAAGAAGCUGUCGAGGUACUAUUCUGAGUUGCGGCCAGAUGGUAAUUGUUCUCAGCCUGGGAAUGUUUGUGUAAAGUUAUCAGGAGCUCCUAAUGGUCAUUUUCAAGACGUAGACAGUGUUGGAAUGGUCAUAGUCAGGGACAUUGUCAGCAAAACUCUUAUUGCUCAGUUUAGGGCACAUAAAAGUCCUAUUGCAGCUUUGUGCUUUGACCCUAGCACUACUCUUCUGGUGACUGCUUCAGUUCAAGGUCAUAACAUCAAUGUAUUUCGGAUAAUGCCUGGACUAUCUGAAAGUACUUGUGCUACUGAUCCUGGAUCUUCUUAUGUCCAUCUGUAUAGGCUGCAGCGUGGACUGACUAACGCGGUCAUACAAGACAUAAGUUUUAGUAAUGAUAGCCGGUGGAUUAUGAUAAGUUCUUCCAGAGGAACUAGCCAUCUUUUUGCGGUAUCUCCUUCAGGUGGAUCAGUUGAUUUUCA
RNAcentral lists this unclassified non-coding RNA (722 nucleotides) under Hevea brasiliensis (rubber tree). The record is from RNAcentral. Lineage: Eukaryota; Viridiplantae; Streptophyta; Magnoliopsida; Malpighiales; Euphorbiaceae.